UGAGAUAGGGUCUCGCUUUGUUGCCCAGGCUGGAGUGCAAUGGUGUAAUCGUGGGUCACUGUAGCCUCACCCUCCUAGGCUCAAAUACUCCUCCGGUCUCAGCUUCCUGAAUAGCUGGGACUAUCGGCUCAUGCC
Long non-coding RNA from Cebus imitator (Panamanian white-faced capuchin), 135 nucleotides. RefSeq lists it as uncharacterized. The record is from RefSeq and is a predicted model, not a curated record. Lineage: Eukaryota; Metazoa; Chordata; Mammalia; Primates; Cebidae. The transcript is spliced from 3 exons.